UGGAUCUGGCAUUGCUGUGGCUAUAGCAUAGGCCAGUGGCUACAGCUCCAAUUCAACCCCUGGCCUGAGAACCUCCAUAUGCUGUGGGUAUGCCCCCCCAAAUUAAAUUAAAUUAAAUUUUGUGUCUCAAUUUAAAAAUAAUAGAACCAAUCCCUAAAAAAUGCAUGUGAUAUCCAUUUGCCAGAUUUUUCAUUCAUAGAAAUAGAGAGCUGUUAUAAAUAUAGCCAUUUAACAUUUGCCUUUCAAUAAGAUAUAUUCUGGGACUAAUUUGAAAUUUUUAAAAAUUCCACCUUAAAUUUGAAUUGUAAUGAUAGACAUUUUUGUUCUAAGAAUAUACAUGCAUAUACAUGGUAAGUAAUUUUUUUUUAGUUUAAACGUAAAAAAUCCUAAAUAAGCUAGUAUAUCACAAUAAAAACAGUUGUCAAAUAUAAAAUAAUUGUAACAAAGAAAAAGAAUCUAGAAGUUCCCGUCGUGGCUCAAGGGUUAAUGAAUCCAACUAGUAUCCAUGAGGAUGCAGGUUUGAUCCCUGACCUUGCUCAGUGGGUUAAGGAUUCAGCAUUGCAGUGAGUUGUGGUGUAGGUUGCAGACAUGGCUCAGAUCCUGCGCUGCUGUGGUUGUGGCGUAGGCUGGUGGCUACAGCUCUGAUUCAGCUCCUAGCCUGGGAAACUCCACAUGUUGCAUUGUGAUUCUAAAAAGACAAAAGCCAAAAAAAAAAAAAAAAAAAAAAAGGAAAAGCAUCUACUGAGAUUCUGAGAAGGAUCUACCUCAAGAACUUAAACUGAAACCAGAAUCCAAACACUGAGCUCUGAAUCAUGAGAUCUCCUUUCCUAUAUUUACUUUAACAUAAACAUUUGGUAAAGAAGCUUAUUCUGAAAAACUUAAGGACAAAUUUCAUUUCCUGAUCAUGAUGCUGUAAUGAAUUAAUGUCAGAGAUAGAACUUGGGGGAAAAAAAAAAAGAAAGCAAGAAAAGGUCUUUUGGCUUUUGACUUUCAGGUACAUGAUUAUCAGUAUGUUUAGUCUCAUAGCUUGUCUUCUCACAUUAGACUCUAAAUUCCUCUAAGAUCAAAAUUCCGUCAUAUUCAUUUUAGUGUCCCUCAGAAAGCCAGACACAAUAUCAUGCAUUCAAAAAAUUGAAUAACUUUCCAAAGGCGUCUACUUAUCUAUAAAUAUUCAAUUGGCAGAUUAGACUUGAAAUAAUAAUGUUACCGAAAGUUGGCAGCAUCUUAACAACUACUCUCUUAAUUCCACUUGUAUAACUCAUUGUCCAAUGUAUUUUAGAAUUCAGAGCUUCCUUUCGGACCAUAAUACAAAAUAUUUAAAAAGUAAAAAUGAAGUCAUUCAUGGAUAUUUUUGACUUUCAUAAGAAGUGUGAUAUUAACUCUUUUGUUUAUUUAUUUUGUCUUUUUAGGGCUUCAUCUGGGGCAUAUGGAAGUUCCCAGGCUAGGGAUUGAAUCAGAGCUGUAGCUGCCAGCCUAUACCACAACCACAGCAAUUCCAGAUCCGAGACACAUCUGCAACCUACACCACAGCUUACGGCAUUGCCAGAUCCUUAACCUGCUGAGUGAGGCCAGGAAUCAAACCCGCAUGCUCAUGGAUACUAGUCAGGUUUGUUAUUGCUGAGCCAAAACAGGAACUCCAGUAUUAACUCUUUUGGUGGGAAAAAUGGAAGAAGUAUCUUGGGAUAUGAGUUUUCUUUCUGCUGUUCUCUGCUUACAACAUAUUACACUUCUUUUAAAACCAGACUCUUCAAAACGGCACACAUGAGCCUCUGAUUACAUUCUCAUCUUUAUCUCAAUUGACCUACCUCUUUCAGCUUAUGGUGCUUCAACAAUAUUAACUAUUUUUCUUUUCCUGGAAUAUCUCUAUGACUUAGGAAUUUGGGGUUGAUUUCCUAUCUGUCUGGAAUACUUAUCCUUUGGUUAGUUCCAUGCUUGACUCCAUAGUCCUACGAGGCGUGGAUUAAAUACCCUUUAUCUAGAAGAUCUUUUCUGACCACCAUAUCUAAAAUAGCUUCCCACCAGAAUCGUUUGCUGUAACACCACCUUUUUUAUUUCUUUCAGAAUAGUUGUCACAAGAAUAAUCAUGUUAGUUGGAUAUCUUCUCUAACAAAGGGUAAGUUCCAUGAGUACAGGGACUUUUCCUACCUUUUACCCCUGAUGUAGCUACUGUGCAGAACACAGCACCUGGUAGACUAAAAACCUGAAAGAACACGCAAAUAUUUGCUGCAAAAAUGAACAUUUACUGUCUUAAUAUAAACAGCAAGUUAAUUUGAAAAGUGAAGUAUAAUUCUGAUGCUCAUGUAUAGUUUUGUUUGUCUAAAUCCAAUUACUAGUUAGUAUCCACAUUGUGAUGCAUCCAAAUUGCAUUUUCAUUUCAGCAAUUGAGGCUCUGGGAUAUACAAAGGUAGGAGAUUUUUCCCAAAGCAAAUGAUAGAGAUGAAAAAAAGAGAUCUGUGUACCUUGCUUUUAUUCAGAAAAGAAAUAACUACGUUUAUUAUAAAAUUUAUAAGAAUGUAGACAUGUGUCUUGUGACAUCAUGUAUUUUAAAUUCUGCAUUGAUAUUGAAUUUAAUAACUAGCUUAGGCAAAAUUUCAUAAAUUUGAAAGUUUGUUAGAAAGUCGUUACUUCUUUUUAAAAAUUUUAUUAAAGUGUGGUUGAUUUACAAUGUUGUUUAUUUAUGCUGCACAGCAAAGUGAUUCAGUUAUACAUACAUAUCUUUUCUUUUUCAUAUUCUUUUCCAUUAUAGUUUAUCAUGGGAUAUUGAAUAUAGUUCCCUGUGCCAUACAGUAAGAUCUUAUUGUUUAUCUUAUCCUAUCUAUAAUAGUUUCUGUCUGCUAAUCCCAAACUCCCAAUCCCCCCUCCUCUCUCCCUUUUGGCAACCACAAGUGUGUUCUUGUGUUCUCCUAUCUGUGAGCCUGAUUCUGUUUCAAAAAUAUGUUCAUUUGUGUCAUAUUUUAGAUUCCACAUAUAAGUGAUAUCACAAAGUGUUUGUCUUUCUCUUUCUCACUCACUUUGUUUAGUAUGAUAAUCUCUAGUUGCAUCUCUGUUCCUUCAAAGGGCGGUAUAUUUUUAUUUUCUUAUAGCUGAGUAAUAUUCCAUUAUACGUAUAUACACACAUACAUAUAUACCACAUCUUCUUUAUCCAUUCAUCUCUCAAUGGAUAUUUACCUGUUUCUAUGUCUUGGCUAUUAUAAAUAAUGCCACUAUGAACAUAAGGGUGCAUGUAUGUUCUUGAAUUAUAGUUUUUUCUGGAUACAUGUCCACGAGUGGGAUUGCUAGGUCAUAUAGCAGCUCUAAUUUUUUUUUUUUUUUUUUUGAGGAAACUUCAUAUUGUUUUCCAAUGUAGCUGUACCAAAUAACAUUCCCACCAACAGUGCCGGAAGUUUCCCUUUUCUCCAGCAUUUAUUAUUGUAGACUUUUUAAUCAUGACCAUUCUGGCAGUAUGAUGUGGUACCACAUUGUAGUUUUGAUUUGCAUUUCUCAAAAAAUUAGCUAUGAUAAGCAUCUUUUCAUGUUCCUAUUGGCUAUCUGUAUUCUUCUAGAGAAAUGUCUAUUUAAAUAUUCUGCCCAUUUUUCAAUUGGGAUGUUUGUUUAUUUUGUUAUUGAGUUAUAUGAACUGUUUGUAUUUUUGUAAGUUAGGCCCUUGCCAUUUGUAUUAGCUGCAAAUAUUUUCUCCCAGUCCAAAGAAUGUCUUUUCAUUUUGUUUAUGGUUUCCUUUGCUAUGCAAAUCUUAUAAGUUUUAUUAGGUCUCAUUUGUUUGUUUUUGUUUUUUGCUUUAUUUCUAUUGCCUUGGGGGACUAAUCAAAGAAAACAUUGGUAUGAUUUAUGUCAGAGAAUAUUUUACCUAUGUUCUCAUCUAGUUAUCUCUAGUUUAAGUCUUUAAGCCAUUUUGAGUUUAUAUUUGUGUAUGGUGUGAGAGUGUGUUCUAAAUUCAUUGAUUUGCCUGUGGCUCUCCAAGGAAAGUUUUUACCUUUUGUUUUUAUAAAUUUUAUUGGAGUAUAGGUGACAACAAUAUUUUGUUAGUUUCAGGUGUAUAGCUAAGUGAAUCACUGUACAUAUACAUUUACAUCCAUCCUUUUUCAGAUUCUUUCCCCAUAUAGGCAAUUACAGAAUAUUGAGUAGAUUUCCCCAAGCUAUAUAGUAAGUCCCUAUUAAUGGUUGAUUUUGUAUAUAGUACUUUGUAUAUGCCAAUCUCACCUCCUUAUCCAUCACUUCCUUCAUGGUUCCUCUUUGGUAACCAUGAGCUUGGUUUUGAAAUCUUUAAAUCUGUUUCUGUUUUGUGAAAAAAAAAUAAUAAUAAUUAUAAUAAUAAUUCUGUUUUGUACUUCUUUUAUUAGAUACCACAUAUCAGUGAUCUCACAUGAUAUUUGUCUUUGUCUGUCUCUGACUUACCUCACUUAGUAUGAUAAACUCUAGGUCCAUCCAUAUUGCUGCAAAUGGCAUUAUUUUCUUCCUUUUUGUGGCCAUGUAAUAUUCCAUUUGUAUAUGCACCACAUCUUCUUUAUCUAAUCCUCUGUUGAUGGACAUUUAGAUGGCUUCCAUGUCUUGGCUAUCGUAAAUAGUGCUGCAGAGAACAUCAGGGUGCAUGUAUCUUUAAUCGAAGACAACAAUAACUUCAAACAAUAUAUUUAAACAUUUUAAAUAUAAAUCCUAGAGGAUAAAGAAAGAAAGAAAGAAGGGGUUGUGGGAUGGAAAUCCUAUAAAAUUGGAUUGUGAUGAUCAUUGUACAUAUAUAAAUGUAAUAAAUUCAUUG
RNAcentral lists this long non-coding RNA (4753 nucleotides) under Sus scrofa (pig). RNAcentral's name for it is "lncRNA (ENSSSCG00060003879.1)". Lineage: Eukaryota; Metazoa; Chordata; Mammalia; Artiodactyla; Suidae. The record is from RNAcentral.